UACGGAGGGGGCUAGCGUUAUUCGGAAUUACUGGGCGUAAAGAGUACGUAGGCGGUUUUUUAAGUCAGAUGUGAAAUCCCGGGGCUUAACCCCGGAACUGCAUUUGAAACUAUUAAACUUGAGUCCGAUAGGGGAUAGUAGAAUUCCUAGUGUAGAGGUGAAAUUCGUAGAUAUUAGGAGGAAUACCGAUGGCGAAGGCAGCUAUCUGGCUCGGCACUGACGCUGAGGUACGAAAGCGUGGGGAGCAAACAGG
This 253-nucleotide ribosomal RNA is filed under the name uncultured bacterium. RNAcentral describes it as "partial 16S ribosomal RNA". It matches the Rfam family "Bacterial small subunit ribosomal RNA", at positions 524 to 776 of the family's 1533-position model. The record is from RNAcentral.